GACGAACGCUGGCGGCGUGCUUAACACAUGCAAGUCGAACGAAGAGCGAUGGAAGCUUGCUUCUAUCAAUCUUAGUGGCGCACGGGUGAGUAACGCGUAAUCAACCUGCCCUUCAGAGGGGGACAACAGUUGGAAACGACUGCUAAUACCGCAUACGAUCUAAUCUCGGCAUCGAGGAUAGAUGAAAGGUGGCCUCUACAUGUAAGCUAUCACUGAAGGAGGGGAUUGCGUCUGAUUAGCUAGUUGGAGGGGUAACGGCCCACCAAGGCGAGGAUCAGUAGCCGGUCUGAGAGGAUGAACGGCCACAUUGGGACUGAGACACGGCCCAGACUCCUACGGGAGGCAGCAGUGGGGAAUCUUCCGCAAUGGACGAAAGUCUGACGGAGCAACGCCGCGUGAGUGAUGACGGCCUUCGGGUUGUAAAGCUCUGUUAAUCGGGACGAAAGGCCUUCUUGCGAAUAGUGAGAAGGAUUGACGGUACCGGAAUAGAAAGCCACGGCUAACUACGUG
This 510-nucleotide ribosomal RNA is filed under the name uncultured bacterium. Its description in RNAcentral is "partial 16S ribosomal RNA". It matches the Rfam family "Bacterial small subunit ribosomal RNA", at positions 28 to 507 of the family's 1533-position model. The record is from RNAcentral.